RNAcentral lists this ribosomal RNA (436 nucleotides) under uncultured bacterium. RNAcentral's name for it is "bacterial SSU rRNA". It matches the Rfam family "Bacterial small subunit ribosomal RNA", at positions 957 to 1392 of the family's 1533-position model. The record is from RNAcentral.
GAACGCGAAGAACCUUACCAGGUCUUGACAUCUGUAGAACCCCUAUGAAAGUAGGGGGUGCCUUCGGGAGCUACAAGACAGGUGGUGCAUGGUUGUCGUCAGCUCGUGUCGUGAGAUGUUGGGUUAAGUCCCGCAACGAGCGCAACCCUUGCUAUUAGUUGCUAACAGGUAGAGCUGAGCACUCUAAUGGGACUGCCGGUGACAAGCCGGAGGAAGGUGGGGAUGACGUCAAAUCAUCAUGCCCUUUAUGACCUGGGCUACACACGUGCUACAAUGGAUGGUACAGAGAGCAGCGAGGCAGCGAUGUGGAGCGAAUCUCAAAAAGCCAUUCUCAGUUCGGAUUGGAGUCUGCAACUCGACUCCAUGAAGUCGGAAUCGCUAGUAAUCGCGAAUCAGCAUGUCGCGGUGAAUGCGUUCCCGGGUCUUGUACACACCG